AAUGAACGCUGGCGGCAGGCCUAACACAUGCAAGUCGAACGGGAUCUUCGGAUCUAGUGGCGGACGGGUGAGUAACGCGUGGGAACGUACCCUUUGCUUCGGAAUAGCCUCGGGAAACUGGGAGUAAUACCGAAUGUGCCCUUCGGGGGAAAGAUUUAUCGGCAAAGGAUCGGCCCGCGUUGGAUUAGCUAGUUGGUGGGGUAAUGGCCCACCAAGGCGACGAUCCAUAGCUGGUUUGAGAGGAUGACCAGCCACACUGGGACUGAGACACGGCCCAGACUCCUACGGGAGGCAGCAGUGGGGAAUCUUAGACAAUGGGGGCAACCCUGAUCUAGCCAUGCCGCGUGAGUGAUGAAGGCCUUAGGGUUGUAAAGCUCUUUCGCUGGGGAAGAUAAUGACUGUACCCAGUAAAGAAGCCCCGGCUAACUCCGUGCCAGCAGCCGCAGUAA
Molecule: ribosomal RNA, 449 nt
Filed under: uncultured bacterium
Lineage: Bacteria
Description: partial 16S ribosomal RNA
Rfam family: Bacterial small subunit ribosomal RNA
Source: RNAcentral